AUUGAACGCUGGCGGCAUGCCUUACACAUGCAAGUCGAACGGCAGCACGGGUGCUUGCACCUGGUGGCGAGUGGCGAACGGGUGAGUAAUACAUCGAAACAUGUCCUGUAGUGGGGGAUAGCCCGGCGAAAGCCGGAUUAAUACCGCAUACGAUCUACGGAUGAAAGCGGGGGACCUUCGGGCCUCGCGCUAUAGGGUUGGCCGAUGGCUGAUUAGCUAGUUGGUGGGGUAAAGGCCUACCAAGGCGACGAUCAGUAGCUGGUCUGAGAGGACGACCAGCCACACUGGGACUGAGACACGGCCCAGACUCCUACGGGAGGCAGCAGUGGGGAAUUUUGGACAAUGGGCGAAAGCCUGAUCCAGCAAUGCCGCGUGUGUGAAGAAGGCCUUCGGGUUGUAAAGCACUUUUGUCCGGAAAGAAAUCCUUGGCCCUAAUACGGUCGGGGGAUGACGGUACCGGAAGAAUAAGCACCGGCUAACUACGUG
RNAcentral lists this ribosomal RNA (486 nucleotides) under uncultured bacterium. RNAcentral describes it as "partial 16S ribosomal RNA". It matches the Rfam family "Bacterial small subunit ribosomal RNA", at positions 30 to 507 of the family's 1533-position model. The record is from RNAcentral.